This 468-nucleotide ribosomal RNA is filed under the name uncultured bacterium. RNAcentral's name for it is "partial 16S ribosomal RNA". It matches the Rfam family "Bacterial small subunit ribosomal RNA", at positions 28 to 507 of the family's 1533-position model. The record is from RNAcentral.
GACGAACGCUGGCGGCGUGCUUAACACAUGCAAGUCGAACGGAAAGACCCUGCUUUUGUUGGGUGCUCGAGUGGCGAACGGGCGAGUAACACGUGAGUAACCUGCCCUUGACUUUGGGAUAACUUCAGGAAACUGGGGCUAAUACCGGAUAGGAGCUCCUGCUGCAUGGUGGGGGUUGGAAAGUUUCGGCGGUUGGGGAUGGACUCGCGGCUUAUCAGCUUGUUGGUGGGGUAGUGGCUUACCAAGGCUUUGACGGGUAGCCGGCCUGAGAGGGUGACCGGCCACAUUGGGACUGAGAUACGGCCCAGACUCCUACGGGAGGCAGCAGUGGGGAAUAUUGCACAAUGGGCGGAAGCCUGAUGCAGCAACGCCGCGUGCGGGAUGACGGCCUUCGGGUUGUAAACCGCUUUCGCCUGUGACGAAGCGUGAGUGACGGUAAUGGGUAAAGAAGCACCGGCUAACUACGUG